RNAcentral lists this ribosomal RNA (479 nucleotides) under uncultured bacterium. Its description in RNAcentral is "partial 16S ribosomal RNA". It matches the Rfam family "Bacterial small subunit ribosomal RNA", at positions 28 to 523 of the family's 1533-position model. The record is from RNAcentral.
GACGAACGCUGGCGGCGUGCUUAACACAUGCAAGUCGAACGGUAAGGCCCUUCGGGGUACACGAGUGGCGAACGGGUGAGUAACACGUGGGUGAUCUGCCCUGCACUUCGGGAUAAGCCUGGGAAACUGGGUCUAAUACCGGAUAGGACUCCGGACUGCAUGGUCUGGGGUGGAAAGCUUUUGCGGUGUGGGAUGGGCCCGCGGCCUAUCAGCUUGUUGGUGGGGUGAUGGCCUACCAAGGCGACGACGGGUAGCCGGCCUGAGAGGGUGACCUGCCACACUGGGACUGUGAUACGGCCCAGACUCCUACGGGAGGCAGCAGUGGGGAAUAUUGCACAAUGGGCGCAAGCCUGAUGGGGCGACACCGCGUGGGGGAUGAAGGCCUUCGGGUCGUAAACCCCUUUUGCUUGGGACGAAGCGCAAGCUGACGGUACCAAGCGAAUAAGAGGUUGCUAACUCUGUGCCAGCCGCCGCAGUAA